CAGCAGCCGCGGUAAGACAGAGGGUGCAAACGUUGUUCGGAAUUACUGGGCGUAAAGCGUGUGUAGGCGGCUUCGCAAGUCGGAUGUGAAAGCCCCGGGCUCAACCCGGGAAGUGCACUCGAUACUGCGGAGCUAGAGUGUCGGAGAGGUUGGUGGAAUUCUCGGUGUAGAGGUGAAAUUCGUAGAUAUCGAGAGGAACACCGGUGGCGAAGGCGGCCAACCGGACGAACACUGACGCUGAGACACGAAAGCGUGGGGAGCAAACAGGAUUAGAUACCCCCGUAGUCCCUGUCUCUUAUAC
Molecule: ribosomal RNA, 301 nt
Filed under: uncultured bacterium
Lineage: Bacteria
Description: partial 16S ribosomal RNA
Rfam family: Bacterial small subunit ribosomal RNA
Source: RNAcentral